Molecule: ribosomal RNA, 464 nt
Filed under: uncultured soil bacterium
Lineage: Bacteria
Description: bacterial SSU rRNA
Rfam family: Bacterial small subunit ribosomal RNA
Source: RNAcentral
AGGAUAAACGCUGGCGGCGUGCCUAAAACAUGCAAGUCGAACGGGUGACUUCGGUCACCAGUGGCGAACGGCUGAGUAACGCGUGGGUGACCUCGCUCCGAGUGGGGGAUAACUGCCCGAAAGGGUGGCUAAUACCGCAUGUGCUCGUGGGAUCGUUCCUACGAACAAAGUCGCAAGACGCUCGGAGAUGGGCCCGCGUCCGAUUAGCUUGUUGGUGGGGUGACGGCCUACCAAGGCGACGAUCGGUAGCUGGUCUCAGAGGAUGAUCAGCCAGACUGGGACUGCGACACGGCCCAGACUCCUACGGAGGCAGCAGUUAGGAAUUUGGGCAAUGGGCGAAAGCCUGGCCCAGCAACGCCGCGUGGGGGAAGACGGCCUUCGGGUUGUAAACCCUUUUCCGAGGAAGAUAGUGACGGUACCUCGGAAGUAAGCCCCGGCUAACUAACCGUGCCCAGCGAGCCCGC